This 466-nucleotide ribosomal RNA is filed under the name uncultured bacterium. RNAcentral describes it as "partial 16S ribosomal RNA". It matches the Rfam family "Bacterial small subunit ribosomal RNA", at positions 28 to 507 of the family's 1533-position model. The record is from RNAcentral.
GACGAACGCUGGCGGCGCGCCUAACACAUGCAAGUCGAACGAGCGAGCGAGAGCUUGCUUUCUCAAGCGAGUGGCGAACGGGUGAGUAACGCGUGAGGAACCUGCCUCAAAGAGGGGGGCAACAGUUGGAAACGACUGCUAAUACCGCAUAAGCCCACGACCCGGCAUCGGGUAGAGGGAAAAGGAGCAAUCCGCUUUGAGAUGGCCUCGCGUCCGAUUAGCUAGUUGGUGAGGUAACGGCCCACCAAGGCGACGAUCGGUAGCCGGACUGAGAGGUUGAACGGCCACAUUGGGACUGAGACACGGCCCAGACUCCUACGGGAGGCAGCAGUGGGGAAUAUUGCACAAUGGGGGAAACCCUGAUGCAGCGACGCCGCGUGGAGGAAGAAGGUCUUCGGAUUGUAAACUCCUGUUGUUGAGGAAGAUAAUGACGGUACUCAACAAGGAAGUGACGGCUAACUACGUG